UGGCUAUGUUUUCUAAAGAGCAUCUAGCAGUUUUCAUCUGGUACAUCAACUUCCCACAUAGGUUUUUUAUUAUAUUUUUUAUACUUAUUAUUAUAUUUCUUUUUAGUUUUCCUCACGGGAGAAAAAGCCAAUUCCGUAUUAAAACGCUACCCAAGAGCUAAUGGGUUUUUUGAAGAAAUAAGACAGGGCAACAUUGAGCGUGAGUGCAAAGAAGAAUUCUGUACAUUUGAAGAAGCAAGAGAAGCUUUUGAAAAUAAUGAAAAAACUAAGGAGUUUUGGAGCACCUACACAAAAGCGCAACAAGGGGAGAGUAACCGAGGAAGUGACUGGUUUCAGUUUUACCUUACCUUUCCGUUAAUCUUUGGCCUCUUCAUUAUCCUCCUUGUCAUUUUCCUAAUCUGGAGAUGCUUCCUAAGAAACAAAACUCGUAGACAGACAGUGACUGAAGGCCACAUUCCUUUCCCUCAGCACCUUAAUAUUAUCACCCCACCCCCCCCACCAGAUGAAGUGUUUGACAGCAGUGGAUUGUCUCCAGGCUUUCUGGGAUACGUAGUUGGGCGCUCAGAUUCCGUCUCUACUCGCCUGUCCAAUUGUGAUCCCCCACCAACCUAUGAGGAAGCCACUGGCCAAGUGAACCUGCAGAGGAGUGAAACAGAACCUCAUUUAGACCCACCCCCGGAGUAUGAGGACAUAGUCAACUCCAACUCAGCCAGUGCCAUUCCUAUGGUGCCUGUGGUCACCACCAUCAAAUGAAGCUGCAAACUUCUUUUUACUCUAA
Molecule: small RNA, 778 nt
Filed under: Pongo abelii (Sumatran orangutan)
Lineage: Eukaryota; Metazoa; Chordata; Mammalia; Primates; Hominidae
Description: retained intron
Source: RNAcentral